UCCGGAUUGGUGCAGAGAUGUAGUUUCCCUUGUGGCUGGUGUACAGGUGGUGCAUGGUUGUCGUCAGCUCGUGUCGUGAGAUGUUGGGUUAAGUCCCGCAACGAGCGCAACCCUUGUCUUAUGUUGCCAGCAUUUGGUUGGGGACUCAUGAGAGACUGCCGGGGUUAACUCGGAGGAAGGUGGGGAUGACGUCAAAUCAUCAUGCCCCUUAUGUCCAGGGCUUCACACAUGCUACAAUGGUCGGUACAACGCGCAGCGACACUGUGAGGUGGAGCGAAUCGCUGAAAGCCGGCCUUAGUUCGGAUUGGGGUCUGCAACUCGACCCCAUGAAGUCGGAGUCGCUAGUAAUCGCAGAUCAGCAACGCUGCGGUGAAUACGUUCCCGGGCCUUGUACACACCGCCCGUCACGUCAUGAAAGUUGGUAACACCCGAAGCCAGUGGCCUAAACUGUAGGGAGCUUCGAACGGUGGAUUGG
This 475-nucleotide ribosomal RNA is filed under the name Corynebacterium aurimucosum. RNAcentral's name for it is "bacterial SSU rRNA". It matches the Rfam family "Bacterial small subunit ribosomal RNA", at positions 989 to 1471 of the family's 1533-position model. Lineage: Bacteria; Bacillati; Actinomycetota; Actinomycetes; Mycobacteriales; Corynebacteriaceae. The record is from RNAcentral.